This 253-nucleotide ribosomal RNA is filed under the name uncultured bacterium. Its description in RNAcentral is "partial 16S ribosomal RNA". It matches the Rfam family "Bacterial small subunit ribosomal RNA", at positions 524 to 776 of the family's 1533-position model. The record is from RNAcentral.
UACAGAGGUCUCGAGCGUUAGGCGGAAUCACUGGGCUUAAAGCGUGUGUAGGCGGCUCGGUAAGUACCUUGUGAAAUCCCACAGCUUAACUGUGGAACUGCUUGGUAUACUGCCGGUCUUGAGCCAGCUAGGGGCUACCGGAACAAAUGGUGGAGCGGUGAAAUUCGUAGAUAUUAGGAAGAACACCAGUGGCGAAGGCGGCUCACUGGAUCGGUACUGACGCUGAGGUGCGAAAGCGUGGGGAGCAAACAGG